CAGGGCCCAGCAGCAGGGCUGGUUCUUGUCUGGGUUCCACCUACCCCCUGCCCAGGAGAGCAGGGCUGGGCAUCCUCUGGACAUGCCCUGGGCUCCCACAGGCGCUGGUGGGGACUGGGGUACUGCUGGUGCUCAUCUUCUUCCCCCUUGCCUGAUGGCAUGGGAGGAAUCUCAUGCAGAGGAUUCCACAUCUAAGCUCACCCAUGACUCUUGCUCUCCAGCAGUGCUCAGCAGCUCCUGGGAGACCUGGAGAUCUCCGUGGCCAUCCCCUUCUGCCAGUUGGGGUUUAGACAUCUUCCCCUUGUCCCUUCAGUUGGUCUCCAAAGAGCUGCAUUUCAGUUUAGUGCCACUUUUGGAAAUCUGCUGGCAUUUCUUCGGUGGUGACUGA
RNAcentral lists this long non-coding RNA (388 nucleotides) under Chloebia gouldiae (Gouldian finch). RNAcentral describes it as "Erythrura gouldiae (Gouldian finch) lncRNA (ENSEGOG00005007091.1)". Lineage: Eukaryota; Metazoa; Chordata; Aves; Passeriformes; Passeridae. The record is from RNAcentral.